Molecule: small nuclear RNA, 111 nt
Organism: Carcharodon carcharias (great white shark)
Lineage: Eukaryota; Metazoa; Chordata; Chondrichthyes; Lamniformes; Lamnidae
Source: RefSeq, a predicted model, not a curated record
GGGCGCACAGUGACCACCCGCCCAUAUACUAAAAUUGGAACGAUACAGAGAAGAUUAGCAUGGCCCCUGCGCAAGGAUGACACGCAAAAUCGUGAAGCGUUCCAACUCGAA